Periophthalmus magnuspinnatus is the source of this 562-nucleotide long non-coding RNA. RefSeq lists it as uncharacterized. The record is from RefSeq and is a predicted model, not a curated record. Lineage: Eukaryota; Metazoa; Chordata; Actinopteri; Gobiiformes; Gobiidae. The transcript is spliced from 3 exons.
UGUAUUUUAAACGAAUUUAAACGGAAACUACUUGCAGUAAUUAUGUUUUAGAGAGAACUAUUUUAAAGAGAUUUUUCUGCUUUCUUAAAUUUGAGCUGUCAAAAUCAGGGCGUGCUUCGUUUUGUUUACCCUGCCCUUUGACUCAUCAAGGGCUGGGCUGGGACACCACAGGCAAACAUAGGAAAAGAUAGAAGAUGGACUACUGCUGGUGGUAUCAGUGGGUUGUUUGUUAUCAGCUUGGGAAAUGAUGUGGCAGUUGCAGUUGCACUUUGGGUUUACAGAACAUUGUUUGAAAUUGAAGGAUGGAACACAGAGGUCGGCCCAGAUCACAAAUGGGACAACCCAAAACCAGGGACCCUAGACUGGAUUACUACAAGUAUCCAAACCAGGAGAGAGGGCAGUGCUACCCUCUGCCAGACCCCAGAGAAUGGGACAGGACCUGGGGCCACCCUGAGUCACGCUUCAUGCCCCCUAUGGCCAGUCCUGUGAGGGGAGAUCCUUACACCUACGGACCUCAGCCCUAUCCUUAUGGGUAUGGAUGGGGAGAGCAGCAGCAACCACA